AGCGAACGCUGGCGGCAGGCUUAACACAUGCAAGUCGAGCGGGCGUAGCAAUACGUCAGCGGCAGACGGGUGAGUAACGCGUGGGAACGUACCUUUUGGUUCGGAACAACACAGGGAAACUUGUGCUAAUACCGGAUAAGCCCUUACGGGGAAAGAUUUAUCGCCGAAAGAUCGGCCCGCGUCUGAUUAGCUAGUUGGUGAGGUAACGGCUCACCAAGGCGACGAUCAGUAGCUGGUCUGAGAGGAUGAUCAGCCACAUUGGGACUGAGACACGGCCCAAACUCCUACGGGAGGCAGCAGUGGGGAAUAUUGGACAAUGGGGGCAACCCUGAUCCAGCCAUGCCGCGUGAGUGAUGAAGGCCCUAGGGUUGUAAAGCUCUUUUGUGCGGGAAGAUAAUGACGGUACCGAAAGAAUAAGCCCCGGCUAACUUCGUG
RNAcentral lists this ribosomal RNA (435 nucleotides) under uncultured bacterium. RNAcentral's name for it is "partial 16S ribosomal RNA". It matches the Rfam family "Bacterial small subunit ribosomal RNA", at positions 29 to 507 of the family's 1533-position model. The record is from RNAcentral.